AGUGAACGCUGGCGGUAGGCCUAACACAUGCAAGUCGAACGGCAGCACAGUAAGAGCUUGCUCUUACGGGUGGCGAGUGGCGGACGGGUGAGGAAUACAUAGGCAUCUACUUUUUCGUGGGGGAUAACGUAGGGAAACUUACGCUAAUACCGCAUACGACCUACGGGUGAAAGCAGGGGAUCUUCGGACCUUGCGCGAUUGAAUGAGCCGAUGUCGGAUUAGCUAGUUGGCGGGGUAAAGGCCCACCAAGGCGACGAUCCGUAGCUGGUCUGAGAGGAUGAUCAGCCACACUGGAACUGAGACACGGUCCAGACUCCUACGGGAGGCAGCAGUGGGGAAUAUUGGACAAUGGGCGCAAGCCUGAUCCAGCCAUACCGCGUGAGUGAAGAAGGCCUUCGGGUUGUAAAGCCCUUUUGUUGGGAAAGAAAAGCAGCAUGUUAAUACCCCGCUGUUCUGACGGUACCCAAAGAAUAAGCACCGGCUAACUUCGUG
RNAcentral lists this ribosomal RNA (492 nucleotides) under uncultured bacterium. Its description in RNAcentral is "partial 16S ribosomal RNA". It matches the Rfam family "Bacterial small subunit ribosomal RNA", at positions 29 to 507 of the family's 1533-position model. The record is from RNAcentral.